GCCAUUUCUUUUUUUUCUUUUUUUUUUUAAGAUAAGAGUCUUUCUCUUGUCACCCAGGCUGGAGUGCAAUGGUGCGAUUUUGGCUCACUGCAACCUUCACCUUCUGGGUUCAAGCAAUUCUCCUGCCUCAGCCUCCCGAGUAGCUGGGAUUACAGGUGCCCGCCACCAUACCCAGCUAAUUUUUGUAUUUUUAGUAGAGAUGGGAUUUCACCAUGUUGGCCAGGCUCCUCUGGAGCUCCUGACCUCAGGCAAUCUGCCUGCCUCAGCCUCCCAAAAUUCAAGGAGUACAGAUGUGAACAACCACGCCCGGCCUCCAUUUCUUUUUUGUAGUCUUUAAUAAACAGCUGCUAUCAUUGCAGACUUGCUGUUUAGGCACUUAGGAAUUUUUCACUAGAAGGCAUGUAAAUAAAGACCAUGGGCAAUUGUAAUGAAUUUCGCCUUCAUUCUUUGACUACAUGACUGUCCCCAGAGCUGUAACUUUAUUGAAUUUUUUAGAAGCCAUUUAGCUAGCAACUGAGCCUAACCAGCCACUCACUGUCAUUAUUCAGUGCUCUUUUAUUAUUGUCUAUUUCUCCUCCAACUUGGCUACACUCACAAAGUGAUAAAAACUUGCAUUUGUUUUCUUUCCUUUUCAGAGACAGCGUCUUGCUCUGUUGCUUAGGCUACAGUACAGUGACAUGAUCAUGGUUCACUGUAGCCUCAAACUCCUGGGCUCAAGUGGUUCUCUCACUUCAGUCUCCCAAGUAGCUGGGACUACAGACAUGUGCCACCAUGUCCAGCUAAUUUUUUAUCAUAGAGACGGGAUCUUGCCAUGUUGCUCCGACUGGGCUCAAAACUCCUGACCUCAAGUGAUCCUCCUGCCUCAGCCUCCCAAAGUGCUGGGAUUACAGGCAGGCAUGACCACCUGUGCCCAGCCCCCUAUUAUUAUUAUUUUAAAUAAUAGCUUUAUUAAAAUAUUCACAUACCAUUCACUUUAUUUAUUGAAAUCUGCAAUUCAGUAGGUUUUAGAAUAUUCACAGAGCUGUGCAUCGAUCACCACAGUCACUUUUAGAACCUUUCAUUACCCUAUAGAGAAAUCCAUACCCCUUAGCCACUACCUCCUACUCUCCCCACCUACCUUUGCCCCCAGCCUUAGGCAACCAUUGAUUAAUUUUUUUGUCACUAUAGAUUUGCCUAAUCUGGACAAAUAGAAUUGUACAAUAUGUGAUCUUUUGUGGCUUUUUUUCCCUCUUAGCACAGUGUUUUCAAAGUUCCUUUAUGUCAUAGUGUGUAUCAAUAUUUCAUUCCUUCUAUGGCAGUAUUCCAUGGUAGAGACACACUGCAUUUUGUUUAUCUGUUCAUCAGUUGGUGGAUAUUUGGGUUGUUUCCAUGUAUUCCAUGUAUUGGUCAUUAUGAAUAAUGCUGCUAUGAAGAUUGUUGUACAAGUUUUUGUGUGGACAUAUAUUUUUAUUUUUCUGGGAUAUAUGCCUAGGAGUGAAAUUGUUGCAUUAUAGGAUGACUGUACAUUUAGCCUUUUGAGAAACUGCCAGAAUGUUUUCUAACGUGGCUAUACCAGUUGGGUGCAAUGGCUCACACCUGUAAUCCCAGCUACUCAGGAGGCUCAGCUAGGAGGAUGGCUUGAGCCCGUGAAUUCAAGACCAGCCUGGGCAAGAUAGUGAAACCCCGUCUUGAUUUUUUAAAAAUCCAAUUAAAAUGACAAGAAAAGAAAUACCCAAACAAAAUGGUUACACAAUUUUAUGUUCCCACCAGUAAUGUUUGUGGGUUCCAAUUCCUCCACAUCUUCACUGACAUUUUUUUUUUCUAGAUAGGGGCUUGCUCUGUCUCUCAGGCCGCAGUGCAAUGAUGCCAUCACAGUUCACUGCAGCCGUGACCUCCCAGGCACAAGUGAUUCUCUCAUCUCAGCCUCCUGGGUAGCUGAAAAUUACAGGUGUACGCCACCAUGCCUGGCUAAUUUUUAGAUUUUUCUGUAGUGGUGGGAUUUUACCAUGUUGCCCAGGCUGGUCUCAUACUCCUGGCCUCAAGUGAUCUGCCCACCUCAGCCUCCCUAAGUUCUGGAAUUACAGGCUGCCACCAUGCCCGGCCUUCACCAACAUUUGCCAUUAUCUGUUUUUUUUUUCUUCCUUUAUACCUUAAAGCAGUAUAAGAACAAGUGUCUUCAAUUAUAGGAAACAGUAUAAUCCCAGGGCUUUGGGAGGCUAAGACAGGAAGAUGUCUUGAUGCCAGGAGUUUUUUUUGUUGUUGUUGUUUUUGUUUUUGUUGUUGUUGUUGUUGUUGACAGUCUCGCUCUGUCACCCAGGGUGGAGUGCAGUGAUGGGGUCCACUGCAACCUCCACCUCCCAGGUUCAAGUGAUUCUCCUGCCUCAGCCUCCCGAGUAGGUGAGACUACAGGCACACGCCACUACUGCCCAGCUGAUUUUUGUAUUUUUGAUAGAGUCAGAGUUUCACCGUGUUGGCCAGGCUGGUCUCGAACUCCAGACUUCAGGUGAUUUGCCUGCCUUAGCUUCCCAAAGUGCUGCGAUUACAAGCAUGAGCCACCAUGCCCAGCCUGAUGCCAGGAGUUUUAGACUAGCCUGGGCAACCUAGCAAGACCUUGUCUCUACAGAAUAUUUAAAAAUUAGCCAAAUGUGGUGGUGCCUGUGUAUAGUCUCUCUCCCUCUCUCUUUUUUUUUUCUAACUUUUUGUGACAUGGUCUGGCUCUGUCACCCAGGCUGAAGUGCAGUGGUGUGAUCAUGGCUCACUGCAGCCUGAAACUCCUGGGAUCAAGUGAUCAAUCCUCCCACCUCAUCCUACCAAGUAGUAGGGACCACAGGUGUGUGCCACCCAGGUCUUGCUAUGUUGUCCAGGCUGGUCUUGAGCUCCUGGCCUCAAGCAAUCCUCUCACCUUGGCCCCCCACAGUGCAAGGAUUACAGGUAUGAGCCACCAUGCCUGGCCCCUACCCUGCCUACUGAGAACCAAAGGAAGGAUCCAAAUUCUCCUUAGCUCAACUCGAGCCAUUUCCUGAUUGCUUCAUCAGCGAGGAGCUGGUUAUUGGGCUGUCCAGGCCUCCCAAGCAGCACAGAAAUGAGAAACAGGACCUUGCCCUGUCACUCAGGAUGGAGUUCAGUGGUCCUAUCAUGGCUCAUUAUAGCCUCAAACUCCCAGGCUCAAGCAAUCCUACCAUGUCAGCCUUCCCAGUAGCUGGGACUACAGCUGGAUCUACCAUGAAAGACUUGUGAAUCCAGGAAGAGAGACUGACUGGGCAACAUGUUAUUCAGGUACAAAAAGAUUUGGACUGUAACUUAAAAAUGAUCAAAUUAUGUUUCCCAUGCAUCAGGUGCAAUGGGAAGCUCUUCUGGAGAGUGAGAGAAGCUUCCAGUUAAGGUGACAUUGAAGCCAAGUCCUGAAAGAUGAGGAAGAGUUGUAUGAGAGUGGGGAGGGAAGGGGGAGGUGGAGGGAUGGGGAAUGGGCCGGGAUGGGAUAGCGCAAACUGUCCGGGAAGGGAAACCAGCACUGUACAGACCUGAACAACGAAGAUGGCAUAUUCUGUUCAGGGAAUGGUGAAUUAAGUGUGGCAGGAAUGCUUUGUAGACACAGUAAUUUGCUUGUAUGGAAUUUUGCCUGAGAGACCUCAUUGCAGUUUCUGAUUUUUUGAUGUCUUCAUCCAUCACUGUCCUUGUCAAAUAGUUUGGAACAGGUAUAAUGAUCACAAUAACCCCAAGCAUAAUAUUUCGUUAAUUCUCACAGAAUCACAUGUAGGUGCCACAGUUAUCCCCAUUUUAUGAAUGGAGUGAUGAAAACCUUAGGAAUAAUGAAUGAUUUGCGCAGGCUCACCUGGAUAUUAAGACUGAGUCAAAUGUUGGGUCUGGUCUGACUUUAAUGUUUGCUUUGUUCAUGAGCACCACAUAUUGCCUCUCCUAUGCAGUUAAGCAGGUAGGUGACAGAAAAGCCCAUGUUUGUCUCUACUCACACACUUCCGACUGAAUGUACGUAUGGAGUUUCUACACCAGAUUCUUCAGUGCUCUGGAUAUUAACUGGGUAUCCCAUGACUUUAUUCUGACACUACCUGGAGUUAGCACAGACCCCACAAGUUAGGGGCUCAGUCCCACGAGGCCAUCCUCACUUCAGAUGACAAUGGCAAGUCCUAAGUUGUCACCAUACUUUUGACCAACCUGUUACCAAUCGGGGGUUCCCGUAACUGUCUUCUUGGGUUUAAUAAUUUGCUAGAACAGUUUACGGAACUCAGAAAAACAGUUUAUUUUCUUUUUUUCUGAGAGAGAGGGUCUUAUUUUGUUGCCCAGGCUGGUGUGCAAUGGUGCAGUCAUAGCUCAUUGCAGCCUUGAUUGUCUGGGUUCCAGUGGUUCUCCCACCUCAGCCUCCCUAGUAGCUGAGACUACAUGCCUGCACCACCACAUCUGGCUAGUUUCUUUUAUUUUUUGUAUAGAUGGGGUCUUGUUGUGUUGGCCAGGCUGGCCACAAAUUCCUGGUCUCAAGUGAUCCUCCCACCUCAGCCUCUGAAAGUGCUGGGAUUACAGAUGUGAGCCACCACAUCUGGCCAGUUCAUUUCCUAUUACUGGUUCAUUGUGAAGGAUACAUCUCAGAAACAGUCAAUGAAAGAGACGUGCAUGCUGGAUGCAGUGGCUCAUGCCUGUAAUCUCAGCACUUUGGGAGGCCAAGGUGGGAGGAUCGCUUAAACUCAGGAGUUUGAGACCAGCCUGGGCAACAUGGUGAAAACCUGUCUCUAUAAAAAA
RNAcentral lists this long non-coding RNA (4728 nucleotides) under Homo sapiens (human). Its description in RNAcentral is "PREDICTED lncRNA (TCONS_00012661)". Lineage: Eukaryota; Metazoa; Chordata; Mammalia; Primates; Hominidae. The record is from RNAcentral.